UGGCUUUUUAAAUUGAUCUUCAAAGGUAAUUUUUCACCGAGUAGGAAUAUCAUAAACAGAUCGAAGAUGAUACAAAGGUGUCUUUACAAUGGCGUCUUUACAAAUGAGUCCGGUUAUCGUAACGAGAAUUACCCUAAACUCCACACAAAAAAAUUGAUGUAAGUAUAGAAGGCAUACUAAAGAUUGCAUGAAAAAUGUCAUUAGUACUAUUUGUACUGCUAAACAACACUCUCGUGUGCAACGAAUGCUUUUUCAUAUGAUUGACUAGUCAAAUGCUGUUCUAGAUAGCUAUAAGGAAGGAAUUUCGAUGCUAUACAUGAGAUUUAAAUUAACAUUUUGUCCUGAGAAACACUGUAAAGCGCUUAAACCACGAUACGUCAUCAAAUAUGGCAUCGAAGAAGUGAUUUUUCUAGACCAUUGAUACAAAUGAGUGAAAGAAGCACAGCUUGAAAACACAAACCAAAGCAACAAAUUAUCGAGCACUACAUAACCAAUAGAACUAUCUGAUUAUCUCAUAAUAAGGAAAAUAUAGUGCUGGAUCAUAAACAUUUCAAGAAGGUGAGCCUCCUUUUGAGGCUUUAUAUCCAGACUACCAUCUUGUUGUUUAUGACGUCAAUUGAUUGUUAUGAAGAGCCUCAGUUUCAUCUCGCCGUAGAGUAUCAAGUUGAUUGUGACGUCACAUUGAUUAACGCCAAUAAACGGAGCAACAAUUAACUGAGCAUUCGUCAGUUCAGUGGCUACGGUAACUGCAUUGACUCUUUUUAAAGUUGAGUUGAAAAUCUCAAACUUUUAGUCGUCGUUCAGAGUGAGAUAUAUUUUUCGAGAGAAGAAACAAACACAGCAUGGGUUGCUGUCUUUCGAAGUUCCAGAGGCCUAAUGAAGCCUCACCAACCAAACGAAUGUCGUCCACGCUUAACAGAAUGUCCAAAAUAUUUCGAAGAAGCAAAGCCAUUCGAAAAGAAGGGUCUCCAUCGAUCGACGAUCAGAUAACUCUUCCAAAAGAAAACACAUCUAGGGUGAGUCAUUCUGUUCUGCAUAAAGUAAUCUGCAUUUGUUUGCUGUUCUCAACUCGGUUCCAAACAAUUUUACAAAAUCGACCAUAUUGAUUGAACAUGAGAUAUUGUUGUGAAAUGGCCGAAACAAGCUAAGUCAGUUCUCCUUAUAGUCAGAGAACAAGACUUUUAAUGAUUUGUGGGGUAAAUGAUUUAUCACAAAAACGUAGAAUUCAAUGGCCAAUGUA
Molecule: non-coding RNA, 1240 nt
Organism: Rhopilema esculentum
Lineage: Eukaryota; Metazoa; Cnidaria; Scyphozoa; Rhizostomeae; Rhizostomatidae
Source: RefSeq, a predicted model, not a curated record